RNAcentral lists this ribosomal RNA (251 nucleotides) under uncultured bacterium. RNAcentral's name for it is "partial 16S ribosomal RNA". It matches the Rfam family "Bacterial small subunit ribosomal RNA", at positions 524 to 776 of the family's 1533-position model. The record is from RNAcentral.
UACAGAGGUCCCAAGCGUUGUUCGGAUUCACUGGGCGUAAAGGGUGCGUAGGCGGUUGGGUAAGUCUGAUGUGAAUCUCACAGCUUAACUGUGAAACUGCAUUGGAUACUAUCCGGCUAGAGGAAUGGAGGGGAGACUGGAAUACUUGGUGUAGCAGUGAAAUGCGUAGAUAUCAAGUGGAACACCAGUGGCGAAGGCGAGUCUCUGGACAUUCCUGACGCUGAGGCACGAAAGCCAGGGGAGCAAACGGG